This 234-nucleotide ribosomal RNA is filed under the name uncultured bacterium. Its description in RNAcentral is "partial 16S ribosomal RNA". It matches the Rfam family "Bacterial small subunit ribosomal RNA", at positions 118 to 351 of the family's 1533-position model. The record is from RNAcentral.
UGAGGAACAUGACCUUCGGCGGGGAUAGCCGGCCCAACGGCCGGGUAAUACCGCGUACGACCACAUGGGGACAUCCCUGAGUGGUGAAAGCAGCAAUGCGCCGAUGGAGUGCCUCGCGGCCUAUCAGCUAGUUGGUGAGGUAACGGCUCACCAAGGCGACGACGGGUAGCCGGCCUGAGAGGGUGACCGGCCACACUGGGACUGAGACACGGCCCAUACUCCUACGGGAGGNAG